Nycticebus coucang (slow loris) is the source of this 1021-nucleotide long non-coding RNA. RefSeq lists it as uncharacterized. Lineage: Eukaryota; Metazoa; Chordata; Mammalia; Primates; Lorisidae. The record is from RefSeq and is a predicted model, not a curated record. The transcript is spliced from 3 exons.
UAGGCCCUCUGCGCUCGUUUCUCACCGGUGGGCAGACCUGGUCACCCCCCUUCAGGAUUAGCUCACACACAGAAUUCCCAGGCGGGUUUCAGGAGCGUCAGUCACAGGGACGAGUGGGGAGCUCCUGAGUGGGCGCUGCACGGUGAGCCGGCGCCGGACACACCGCCUGGACCUGGUCACCGCCACAGCGAUGCCUCCUGAGCUACCACCUGUGGCCCCCAGCUUUGGCUGACGGAGAAGCUCGGCGGGUUCCCGGACAGCUGAAGAGGGCUUCUGAGUGCGGAAUACCCCCCUAACGGCGCGGUGUGCUAAGGCUCUGUUCCCCGGGCACCCUGAUGCUGUCUUUCAUCUUGCUCCACUGAGCCUAGGCCCUAAGGCCCCAGGCCGGGUUCUGUUUCUCCCCCGUGGGGAAGGUGUGCUGUCGGGCUGUUGGACAGCACGCGGGUCCAGGGAGGGCCAGCUGGCUGACCUCUUUCAUCUUCAGCACCUUUCCCGAGGCCUGUUCUGUCCUGAUCUGGUCUGGGGUCUCCCUGCUGCCUCGUUCCUGCCCCCGGACUGCAGAAAGAGCCGGGACCUGGGAAACCGACUUGAAGCUAGUAAAGCAGCCAAGAAUUCCCAAGCUUUCCCAGGCAAGCGUGGAGGAACACUGGGACGCCUUUUUCUUCUCCUCUGUCCAUCUGCGGGCCAAGUGUGCAUCGGUCACAGGCAAACUCUGAAUCGAGCUUUGUGCAAGUCUCUGGAAAGAAACCCAAGAUCGUGUGAUGAGCAAAAGUUACAGUGAUGGUGGCCGCGACAUCUGCAGAGUAGCCCUAUCCCUAUCUGCAGCAGAAUGCGUGUGGGCAUCUUUCAUGAGAACAAUCCACCCAAGUUAGAAUGGGGCAUUUGACAUCAGCUGAGACCCACGCUGCCUGACAAUGAGAAGCCUGUUGGUCAAAGGGAGGACUGUCUAAUGAACUGAGAAUCAGAGGCCAGCUCUGGCCAUCUGUACUUACAAUCAUUAGAGCAACUCUUUACUGUAAUU